UCCGGUUUGUCACCGGCAGUCUCAUUAAAGUGCCCAACUGAAUGAUGGCAAUUAAUGACAAGGGUUGCGCUCGUUGCGGGACUUAACCCAACAUCUCACGACACGAGCUGACGACAGCCAUGCAGCACCUGUGUUCCGGCUCUCUUUCGAGCACCCCCACCUCUCAGCAGGGUUCCGGACAUGUCAAGGGUAGGUAAGGUUUUUCGCGUUGCAUCGAAUUAAUCCACAUCAUCCACCGCUUGUGCGGGUCCCCGUCAAUUCCUUUGAGUUUUAAUCUUGCGACCGUACUCCCCAGGCGGCGAACUUCACGCGUUAGCUGCGGUACUAAGAAAGUCUCCUUCCCCAACACCUAGUUCGCAUCGUUUAGGGCGUGGACUAC
RNAcentral lists this unclassified non-coding RNA (379 nucleotides) under uncultured Gammaproteobacteria bacterium. RNAcentral's name for it is "contains 16S-23S intergenic spacer region". The record is from RNAcentral. Lineage: Bacteria; Pseudomonadati; Pseudomonadota; Gammaproteobacteria.